Molecule: long non-coding RNA, 1365 nt
Organism: Salvia miltiorrhiza (redroot sage)
Lineage: Eukaryota; Viridiplantae; Streptophyta; Magnoliopsida; Lamiales; Lamiaceae
Exons: 2
Source: RefSeq, a predicted model, not a curated record
AUAAUUUUGAUGAAAGCAUAAUUAAUAAGUAAAAAUAUUUAAUUAAAUAUUUUGCUUAAACAAAUACCAAUAUUUUACUUAAACAAAUAAUAAGUAAAUACUUAAUAUUAAGUCAACAAAUACAUAAUUUUUUACUUAAUUAAUAAGUAAAAUAUUAAGUAUUUUACUUAAACAAAUAUGAAGUAAAAUUAUUGAAUUCGUAUAUGUAUAUAUAUUAUAUAAUAGUUUAUUUUCUGAAAGGAGAACUAAUAAUAGAACAAUUAAAUAAAUAAAGCCCAAUACAGCCGAAUUUAGUACAGUACAGUAAAUUCAGCCCAAUAAAUUAAACAAAAAAUAAAAUAAAAUAAAUAUAGCCCAUCUACACUUUUCAACCCUAAAAUUGAGAUCAAAUACUCAUCUCCUCCUCUAGCGCCGCCUCUUCUCUCUCGUUUCUUCUCCUAGUCCAAACCUUCCUCUUUCUUCCACAUGCGCCGCUGCCGGCGAGAAGCCACGGUCGCCGAUGUUCUUCACCGUCUUCUCCCUCCCUCUGCCUCACCCUCUGUCGGCGAAAAACCCUGCAACCAUAUCACGGCAAAGCCGCCUCCCAAAAGCCCUAGAUCCCUAAACCACCAACUCCGCCCUCACAUCUAAGCACUGAUGUCGUUCCACGCGGCGUCGCCUCCCUCCUCGAAGACGAUAAAUGCGCCGCUGCCUCCCUCUGCACAGCCCGUAUCCAGUCGCCGUCCGGGUUUCAAGCUACGGCGUCGCCCAAGCCCUAGCCACCAGAUCUCGGCCUCCUCCCUCGUCUGCAUCUUUAAUUCUAUUGUUCUCCAUAUGAAAUUUUGAAAUUUUUUCUUGCAGUACAGUAAACUUUUUUAUACUUUGUAAGAUCUUUUUUUUCGUUUGUUACAUGUUUUUGUUCAUUAGUUUUCUUUUUUAUACUUUGUAAGAUCUUUUUUUUUUCGUUUGUUAGUUUUUAGUUUUUUAAUUUUUAAUUUUUUUAAUUUUCUCCAUGUUUAAUUUUUCUUACUGAAGUAUCGUUUUUGUUCAUUUAAACGAUAGCCAAAAAAUUUCGUCUGCAUCUGCUCCAAUGUUUUUGUUCAUUAUGCUGCAUUUGCCCUUGUUUUUGCAAUCUUCAUGCCUGUUGUUCAAGGCCAGGGCCACGGCGCUUUCGCCCCUGCUCCUGCUCCAACCUGAGACGAUAUGAGUGGUAAUAUACUUCUUUCUCUAUUGAAAGAUUCAGUGAUUGAAGAUUCAGUCUUGAUCUGGCGAAAAAGUCUUGAUCUGCGAAAAUUCAGAAAUAUUAGCUACAUUUUUAGACUUUAUGUAUAAAGUAGAAAUAAGUGUAUAGAUUUGUAUCAUAGUUGUAAUUGAAACUAAUAAUAA